Molecule: long non-coding RNA, 420 nt
Organism: Uranotaenia lowii
Lineage: Eukaryota; Metazoa; Arthropoda; Insecta; Diptera; Culicidae
Exons: 2
Source: RefSeq, a predicted model, not a curated record
GUGUACUUCAUGGUAAAAUGUAAAUCCAAACGUAGUUAAUCUUUUGCUGUUUCUACACAUUUACAAUUAACCGUGUAGAAGCCUUAAGCCAAAUUUGUUUACGCGCGUAUUUUUGUCUCCGGAAGAUUUCGUCGUGAUCUGUUUUUUAAUGCAGAAUAACUUUAUCCGGACAAAUUCGGGAUUUUUCGGCAGAUAUGACGAAUCGGAACGCGAUGGGCCCAUCUGCAGUGGUGAUGAAGACGACGUAGUUCCGCAGUUCCAAAUUCCGGCGAGGGCACCUUACAUUGCCUGAAUUGAACUGAUUGAUGCCGGAGGUCUACGGGAUGGGAGUGCUAGUGCGAGUCAUAGGCCUUCUGUGAUCAUUGAGUGAGUAAGUGUUAUAAAUAAGUAAUGUGUCAAAUAAAAAAUUUAGUCAAAUUA